UUUCUACAUUUGGCGCCAGGACAGCGGGUACCAAAGGCCUCACGAGCUGCGCCACUGCUGGACGCUGGUCUGCUGCGUCACGUAUGAGAAGGCCGUGUCUGCGCGCUGUUCCCACAAAUCAACAAUCAGUUGAUGAAAUGAAAAAAAAAAAAAAAAAAAAAAAAAAAUAUGUGAUCAAAAUUUGAAAAAAAAAGACAAAAGAAAGUAAACCAAAAAUAUAAGAACAUAAGUAAGGACAAGAAACAUACAAAAAAGAGGGAGCCGAUACAAAGGCUUUCACAAAUCCCGAGCACUGAACUGGAACAAACCUUCGAUGAACCUUCACGUCGCCACUCGCCUCUCCUGAUUGCACCUCACCCUCAGAAAACCCCAUUAUUACUCUAGAUUGCUAGACCAGAUUAGUGAUGGUGAAGUGUACAGCAUUCAACUGUCAGUAGGUAAAGGUCCAUCAAGGCAGAUAAGGCAAGUAAUGAGGCUGGUGGGUCUACUGCAUAUAGGCACUCAGUGUUCAAGUUUCCCCAGUCACAUAGGCCAGAGAUAAGGAAUAAGUGGAUCGCUGUAUUGGAACACAAGGCCACAAACUGGAACCCAGACUAUGCUGGCAUUUGUGAGCUCCAUUUCAACCCACAGGCCUUUCUGCUGGUGACCUACAGGAAAGAAAAUGUCAAAGAAAGAUCCUCAAGACCACUGCCAUUCCUUCAGUCUUUAACUGUUACCCAGAGUGAGUAGUUAAGUGCACUACUUUUUGACAUAUUAUUAACAAAUUUCCAUUGCUUCACUGUAUGUGGAUAUAUUAAGGUAGGAAUGAGCAAGUAAACAAGAGGAGUGAGUGAUAACACAGCACCAAAACAUUGUACUCCUUGUGCAAGUGUCAGGUUCUAUCACCACCAAACGAAUAUUUUGUAAGCAAGAUUAAUGAAUUUUGUGUGGCUAACAAAAAAUAUAUGCAAACAAUCUUACAGUAAUCCACAUAGCACAGGAACUAACUAACUACUGAAGUUAAAAGGUGGCAAAGAUAAGAUAACUAGAAAUGUACUCAAGAUGUAGAAGUGACAGGUAGUAGCUUGGAUGGUAAUGUCUGAUCUGGUAUGGAAGCAAGGGUUAGCUAUCAGAUGAAUGGAGGAAGGCACUUGUUGUAUGUCUGUAUGAAGGGUGUAGGGAUGAGUCAUUGUGUUGCUUCUUUCUCUUAUCAGUUUGACAGAAGUUGGUGGAAGUACCACCAUAUUGGAAAAUUAAAGAUUUUUUGUUUAUUGAAAAUUGGGUUAUCAGAGAUGAUUGUUGACAGAGUGCACAUACUGACUGAAUUCAGAUAAGAAGUGAAUGUGCAAUGCUAUGGAGCUGUGAUCAGAGAAUCAGUGUUAAGACUUUGUACUGCUGGUAUAUAUGUUGAAUGUGGUAAUUUUUCUCUUAAAAGUCUUGUUUAGUGAAAACCAUUUUAUGUAAUUAUUUGAGCCUUGAGACAUAAUCAAUCACCUUGGUGUUGUUAGGCUGAAAGCAUAUCUGUUACCAAUCUUAUAAUUUAAUUGCCAAGUUUUAAAAAUUUAUGUAGAGCUUUGAUUGCAGUUGUUAUAGAUAGUGGUGUUCUAGUAGAUUCCAGAAUUGAUUCUGUGAAUGAUACUGAUUCAGUAAUAUUUGUGAUCGACCAAACACUCUUAGGAACAAAGUGGACCUUAUGAAUGUUGUAUAGAAUUUUACUUUGAAAAAAAUUGUAAGUCCAAAA
This is a long non-coding RNA of Portunus trituberculatus (swimming crab), 1720 nucleotides long. RefSeq lists it as uncharacterized. Lineage: Eukaryota; Metazoa; Arthropoda; Malacostraca; Decapoda; Portunidae. The transcript is spliced from 2 exons. The record is from RefSeq and is a predicted model, not a curated record.